This 278-nucleotide ribosomal RNA is filed under the name uncultured Alloprevotella sp. Its description in RNAcentral is "partial 16S ribosomal RNA". It matches the Rfam family "Bacterial small subunit ribosomal RNA", at positions 511 to 788 of the family's 1533-position model. The record is from RNAcentral. Lineage: Bacteria; Pseudomonadati; Bacteroidota; Bacteroidia; Bacteroidales; Prevotellaceae.
GCAGCCGCGGUAAUACGUAGGGUUCAAGUGUUGUCCGGAAUUAUUGGGCGUAAAGGGCUUGUAGGCGGCCGGUCGCGUCUGGUGUGAAAUUCCGCCGCCCAACGGCGGAACUGCGCUGGAUACGGGCCGGCUAGAGUGCGGCAGGGGGGACUGGAAUUCCUGGUGUAACGGUGGAAUGUGUAGAUAUCAGGAAGAACACCAAUGGCGAAGGCAGGUCCCUGGGCCGCAACUGACGCUGAGGAGCGAAAGCGUGGGGAGCAAACAGGAUUAGAUACCCC